GACGAACGCUGGCGGCGUGCUUAACACAUGCAAGUCGUACGGUAAGGCCCUUCGGGGUACACGAGUGGCGAACGGGUGAGUAACACGUGGGUGAUCUGCCCUGCACUUCGGGAUAAGCCUGGGAAGCUGGGUCUAAUACCGGAUAGGACCACUGCCUGCAUGGGUGGUGGUGGAAAGCCUUUGCGGUGUGGGAUGGGCCCGCGGCCUAUCAGCUUGUUGGUGGGGUGAUGGCCUACCAAGGCGACGACGGGUAGCCGGCCUGAGAGGGUGACCGGCCACACUGGGACAGAGAUACGGCCCAGACUCCUACGGGAGGCAGCAGUGGGGAAUAUUGCACAAUGGGCGCAAGCCUGAUGCAGCGACGCCGCGUGAGGGAUGACGGCCUUCGGGUUGUAAACCUCUUUCAGCUAUGACGAAGCGCAAGUGACGGUAGUAGCAGAAGAAGGACCGGCCAACUACGUGCCAGCCGCCGCGGUAA
Molecule: ribosomal RNA, 478 nt
Filed under: uncultured bacterium
Lineage: Bacteria
Description: partial 16S ribosomal RNA
Rfam family: Bacterial small subunit ribosomal RNA
Source: RNAcentral